Molecule: ribosomal RNA, 454 nt
Filed under: uncultured Marinilabiliaceae bacterium
Lineage: Bacteria; Pseudomonadati; Bacteroidota; Bacteroidia; Marinilabiliales; Marinilabiliaceae
Description: partial 16S ribosomal RNA
Rfam family: Bacterial small subunit ribosomal RNA
Source: RNAcentral
ACGGGAGGCAGCAGUGAGGAAUAUUGGUCAAUGGACGGAAGUCUGAACCAGCCAAGUCGCGUGCGGGAGGAAGGCCCUACGGGUCGUAAACCGCUUUUGUACGGGGAUAAAGUCACCCACGUGUGGGUGUUUGUAGGUACCGUAAGAAUAAGGAUCGGCUAACUCCGUGCCAGCAGCCGCGGUAAUACGGAGGAUCCGAGCGUUAUCCGGAUUUAUUGGGUUUAAAGGGUGCGCAGGCGGGACAUUAAGUCGGCGGUGAAAUACCGUGGCCCAACCACGGGGCUGCUGUCGAUACUGAUGACCUAGAGUGCGUGUGACGUAGGCGGAAUGUGACGUGUAGCGGUGAAAUGCUUAGAUAUGUCACAGAACACCGAUUGCGAAGGCAGCCUACGAAUGCGUAACUGACGCUCAUGCACGAAAGCGCGGGUAGCGAACAGGAUUAGAUACCCUGGUA